UUACCAGGCCUUGACAUGCAGAGAACUUUCCAGAGAUGGAUUGGUGCCUUCCGGGAACUCUGACACAGGUGCUGCAUGGCUGUCGUCAGCUCGUGUCGUGAGAUGUUGGGUUAAGUCCGUAACGAGCGCAACCCUUGUCCUUAGUUACCAGCACGUUAUGGUGGGCACUCUAAGGAGACUGCCGGUGCAAACCGGAGGAAGGUGGGGAUGACGGUCAAGUCAUCAUGGCCCUUACGGCCUGGGCUACACACGUGCUACAAUGGUCGGUACAAAGGGUUGCCAAGCCGCGAGGUGGAGCUAAUCCCAUAAAACCGAUCGUAGUCCGGAUCGCAGUCUGCAACUCGACUGCGUGAAGUCGGAAUCGCUAGUAAUCGUGAAUCAGAAUGUCACGGUGAAUACGUUCCCGGGCCUU
This 412-nucleotide ribosomal RNA is filed under the name uncultured Pseudomonas sp. RNAcentral describes it as "bacterial SSU rRNA". It matches the Rfam family "Bacterial small subunit ribosomal RNA", at positions 971 to 1382 of the family's 1533-position model. Lineage: Bacteria; Pseudomonadati; Pseudomonadota; Gammaproteobacteria; Pseudomonadales; Pseudomonadaceae. The record is from RNAcentral.